RNAcentral lists this long non-coding RNA (239 nucleotides) under Homo sapiens (human). RNAcentral describes it as "non-protein coding LINC02177:15". Lineage: Eukaryota; Metazoa; Chordata; Mammalia; Primates; Hominidae. The record is from RNAcentral.
AGACUCCACCUUGGCGGGAUGUGCAGGUGAAGUGCUCCAGCUCUGAGGACGAAUCCUGGAAGAGAAAACCUGAUCCCAGGGCAUGAAGAAGGAGGAAAAGGAUGCAGGAAAGAAUUUAAGAGGCAAAGUGGAUGUGAUAAAGGAACGAGAAGAUCAUGAGAAAAGAUGAAAAAGAGAACAGUGACUGACCCAUGUCAUGAAGCAUCAGUUUCUAAACUUUGCUGUAUGCAGGCUCAAUG